Molecule: long non-coding RNA, 211 nt
Filed under: Carica papaya (papaya)
Lineage: Eukaryota; Viridiplantae; Streptophyta; Magnoliopsida; Brassicales; Caricaceae
Description: long non-coding RNA (CPAP_LNC016108)
Source: RNAcentral
GGGAUCUAGAUAUUAAUGCUCUUGAUCUGAAAUAGUUAAUGAGUGGGUAAGCUACACCAGCCCAUUAAGAAUAUCACAUUACUCACCAAUACAAAAAAUAAAAGUUGGUAAAAAUAACAAAAAUAACCAAUUGAGCUCUUAAUUUAAGUAAAUUCAUUUAUCAUAAGUAAAACCAUUUGUUGCAUACUUACUGUUGUUAGAUUUUUAAAAC